Molecule: small RNA, 446 nt
Filed under: Pan troglodytes (chimpanzee)
Lineage: Eukaryota; Metazoa; Chordata; Mammalia; Primates; Hominidae
Description: sense intronic
Source: RNAcentral
GCUUUGAUUUAUACAGACUUGUAGGUUUCCCUGUGAAUCUGGGAGCAGGAUGAAGUGAUGCUCAAAGGAUCAAGAUCAAAAGGCAGUGGAAAGAAAUGAAGGAUGCAGGAGAAAGAUGGACAUUGGGAAUAAAGGGAAGAGAGAGAGGGGUGAUGGGGAAGGUAGGAAGAUCAGGACAGAGCAAGGAACAACAGGAUGAGAUUCAAAAGAAAGCAACAUGGGGAACAUGCAAGUGGUGAGGGCUAAGAAAUCUUAAUAAUGAAGAAACCAUGGGGACUAAGAGGAAGUUGAAGAAAGCUGCUGGAGCAACCUAGAGAGACAGAAGAGAGCAGAGAAGUGAGUGAAAGGAAUAAACCUGGGAUGAGAGAGAGGAUCUGCACUGUAACUCUGAUAUUGACCAAGAGGAUUGAUAACCUCCCUUUUAUUAAAUGCCACAUACAUGCCAG